UGGGGAAUAUUGGGCAAUGGGGGAAACCCUGACCCAGCAACGCCGCGUGAGGGAAGAAGGCCUUCGGGUUGUAAACCUCUGUCCUCAAGGAAGAAAGAAAUGACGGUACUUGAGGAGGAAGCCCCGGCUAACUACGUGCCAGCAGCCGCGGUAAUACGUAGGGGGCGAGCGUUGUCCGGAAUUACUGGGCGUAAAGGGUGCGUAGGCGGCAGCCUAAGUUGGAUGUGAAAUACCCGGGCUUAACCUGGGGGGUGCAUUCAAAACUGGGCAGCUAGAGUGCAGGAGAGGGAAGCGGAAUUCCUAGUGUAGCGGUGAAAUGCGUAGAUAUUAGGAGGAACACCAGUGGCGAAGGCGGCUUUCUGGACUGUAACUGACGCUGAGGCACGAAAGCGUGGGGAGCAAACA
Molecule: ribosomal RNA, 405 nt
Filed under: uncultured Eubacteriales bacterium
Lineage: Bacteria; Bacillati; Bacillota; Clostridia; Eubacteriales
Description: uncultured Clostridiales bacterium partial 16S ribosomal RNA
Rfam family: Bacterial small subunit ribosomal RNA
Source: RNAcentral